ACAUCCAGCGAAUUCGGUAGAGAUACCUUAGUGCCUUCGGGAACGCUGAGACAGGUGCUGCAUGGCUGUCGUCAGCUCGUGUUGUGAAAUGUUGGGUUAAGUCCCGCAACGAGCGCAACCCUUUAUCCUUUGUUGCCAGCGGUCCGGCCGGGAACUCAAAGGAGACUGCCAGUGAUAAACUGGAGGAAGGUGGGGAUGACGUCAAGUCAUCAUGGCCCUUACGAGUAGGGCUACACACGUGCUACAAUGGCGCAUACAAAGAGAAGCGACCUCGCGAGAGCAAGCGGACCUCAUAAAGUGCGUCGUAGUCCGGAUUGGAGUCUGCAACUCGACUCCAUGAAGUCGGAAUCGCUAGUAAUCGUAGAUCAGAAUGCUACGGUGAAUACGUUCCCGGGCCUUGUACACACCGCCCGUCACACCAUGGGAGUGGGUUGCAAAAGAAGUAGGUAGCUUAACCUUCGGGAGGGCGCUUACCACUUUGUGAUUCAUGACUGGGGUGAAGUCGUAACAAGGUAAGCGUAGCGAG
RNAcentral lists this ribosomal RNA (526 nucleotides) under uncultured bacterium. Its description in RNAcentral is "bacterial SSU rRNA". It matches the Rfam family "Bacterial small subunit ribosomal RNA", at positions 984 to 1509 of the family's 1533-position model. The record is from RNAcentral.